AUAAAAUCGGGUUUCUUCUUCUGUAGUGGAUACUUUAUUAAAUGAAUAUAUACGAAUAUAUAUACAUAUAUGCAUCUGUACAUACAUUCAUACAUUCGUACUGGUCAGUCCUGUCCUGUCCCGUCCCGUCCCGGGCGAAAGCCCGGGACAGAACAUAGAUGUUGUUACUCUGACUCCCAGGUAGUCGACAAUAGUUCAAUGGAAGGCUACUCUUUUAUAUGUUCAUGAUGUGCAUUGGCCGGACAGAUAGAUUUCCCCUAACUUAAUAUGGUUAUGGGGUUCGUGACCUGAAGUCUACAUGUAAACACAACAUUAAUUAUAACUACACAAAGAUAAUUGGAUACUACCAGUAUUACAUGAACAUGGUAUAGAUAACAUCCAAGUUGUUUAGAGAACCGAGGUCCGUCUAAUUAUUGGCAAAUUAGCUAACACGUGUACAUGUAGAUAUGAUUAUUUACAGGUUCUAUAAUUAUAUAAACUUCUACUGAACAUAUUACAGUACAUUUCGUUUCUAUGCAAUUUAAAAGAUUUCAAAUUAGAUAUAAUUUGACAUCAAGCGUAAGCGAAAUAGUCGAAAUUAACACUUAUUUUUAACAGGUUAAAUCAAAAGGAUUAAGUACAUGGGUUUCACAAGUUCAUCACUGAAUGUCACUGGUAAUUAAAUUUUAUUAUUGAAAUUGUUCUUCGUCUGGCACAGCUGUUGUAUUGGGUCCACGUUCAGGCGCGCAAUAAUCCGUCGAGAAAACUGUUGAACAAUAUAUAAAGUAAAUAAAAGUUCCUAGGAGUGACGUACAACCGUCUGUUUAAUCCAGGAUAAAAACGUCUUGCACACAAUAAGGCUAAGACUGGUAAAGUAGAACUGAGUUCCUUGUAACAUAUUUGUAGAUAAAACAGGAAAAUGUUCCUUCAAUAAUCAUAAUAUGUGGUUGAAAUGUUCCGUUGACUGUGUCAGUUGUUAUGAGGGGCUGGUCCAAAAUUUCGUAGAUACAUUGUAAUAUUCCGGCAUAAAAACUGCAUCGGAUAUGAAUCAGUCCAACAACAUGACGAAAUAUUAUGAGAGUUCAUUAAACAAUUUAUUUAUUACUCCGUGUUAUAACCACGUGAGGAAUCUCUGCUAAAGGUUGUAGACAUUAAUAAUUGGUGUUGA
This is a long non-coding RNA of Pecten maximus, 1147 nucleotides long. RefSeq lists it as uncharacterized. The transcript has 2 exons. The record is from RefSeq and is a predicted model, not a curated record. NCBI's taxonomy places the organism in Eukaryota, Metazoa, Mollusca, Bivalvia, Pectinida, Pectinidae.